GCCGGUGAUUAUAGCGCGAGGGCCACACCCGUUCCCAUCCCGAACACGGUCGUUAAGCCUCGCAGCGCGGAUGGUACUGCCGGGGAGACCCGGUGGGAGAGUACGACGUCGCCGGCC
RNAcentral lists this ribosomal RNA (117 nucleotides) under Gemmatimonadota bacterium. The record is from RNAcentral. Lineage: Bacteria; Pseudomonadati; Gemmatimonadota.